UUCUUCCUGACGUAGCUAUUCAGACCUGUUUUCUUGCCUCUUGUUUUUGCUUUUGUGAUGCCAUUAUGAUAUCUCUGUCAUGUGGAGGGAAAAAAUCAUUCAGCUUCUUCAUUAUGUUUAGUAGUGCGCUGUGGAUUUAUAUAAUGUUUCUUCCAAGAGGUUUUGGAGUUCUCAGGAUCAGGUUCCUGAUGUUUCCAAACUAAGUGCUAAACUAAGCUUAUCUUUUAACAGUUCUCAUAAAAGACUUGCAGUAGCUAACUUCUGUUUACUUGCCCCUAAAUUAAUGAAGUACCUCUGAAUGAGAUUCCAAACAGGAUGCCACACUGGAUCUGGAAGAUGUUAGCGUUAAAUGGUGAGAUACUUAUGCUCCACUGGUGAGAUAGCUGAGGAUCCCUGGGCUUAAUGAAAUUUAGAUGCAUUUAGUCUUGCCUAAGAUCGAUACCUUCUGCAGGGUGUGGACAUACGACCUUAUCUGGUCAGGAGACAUGGUCUCUUUAUUACAGGAAAAACUGCUACCAUUCUGAUAUUUUCCUGCCUUGUGGUUAAAUAUGUCACUGAAUACAGUGUUUUUUUUUGUUUAUUAAACAGGAUAUUCGGAAAGGGAGUACAUUACUGAGCAAAGCAGCACAAGAUGACUUACAAAUCCCUAUUCUUUUCAUGGGAGCCUGCCUGGGUUGUCACUUUUGAAUGGAGAUGGAGUGGAGUGGAACUGCACAUAUUAUUGAAGAUGCAAGCUGCCACGGUUGUAUAUUGUAGCAGUGCCUGCAGAAUGCUGCAGCUACUUUCACUCUUCAGCGUUCCUGGCUUGUGGAGUCAAAAGCCUCUGUGGAACUUGAGAUGGAAAUACUGACGUGAGUUUAGGAGCUUUGAUGCUUUCAGACACUGAAUUUUGAUUUGGCAAAUGACCGCAAAUAAGGUACUGCCUGAACAAGCUGAAAUGACUUGAAGACCUUUGAUUCUG
This 961-nucleotide long non-coding RNA is filed under the name Struthio camelus australis. RNAcentral describes it as "lncRNA (ENSSCUG00000014456.1)". Lineage: Eukaryota; Metazoa; Chordata; Aves; Struthioniformes; Struthionidae. The record is from RNAcentral.